Long non-coding RNA from Zingiber officinale, 1467 nucleotides. RefSeq lists it as uncharacterized. The transcript has 4 exons. The record is from RefSeq and is a predicted model, not a curated record. Lineage: Eukaryota; Viridiplantae; Streptophyta; Magnoliopsida; Zingiberales; Zingiberaceae.
CAACAACCUGAUCAUUGUGCGCGUUUCUUCCUCGCGACAGAGCUAGGGCACCGACGGCCGGCGACCACUUCUCCUGAUUCACUGCCGCCGGCCGGAGCUUGUUCGUCACCUCCCGCGGUCAUCUCCUAUCCAUAACCACACUUCCUCUUCGGGAUUUCCAGCGACGUGCAGGCUAGGGCAGCAACGACGGCAAGCCAUUCUAGGCGGCAAGCUUCGGCUCCGAUCAUCCACCUCCCCGGAGGCGUUCUCCGGUGAGAUUCUUCACCUUCCGACCAUCCCUACCCUUUUCCCAGCAGCAGCUCUUCUCCAACAGAUCUCGACAGAACCUCACAGCUCCGCCUUCAUCAGAUCUCGAACAGCAGCCUCUUCGUUCCACCAAGUCCGAACAACAAGUUUAUUCUCCUAUUGUUGAUACUGUGGUUUGCAUGGUUGAAGAUUUGAUGUUCUUCAUAACAUUGAUGUUGCAGAAUACUUUCACUGGAAUAUGCUAUGUGAUUCAAUAACUCCUAUUUUUCCACUGGACUGUUAAUCUCUUUUUGAUUUUGUGGAUAACUUUGCUGCAAACUAUGCUAUGAAGAGAGUUUAUUAUGUCAACCAUGCAUUGGGGAUAUCUGGACGCAGGAAACCUUGCUGGAAUCUAUUAUGAACAAAGUCAACUUGACAUGGCAAUUCUGCAUUACAAGCAAGCUAUCAACUGUGAUUCUACCUUUAUUGAAGCUUACAAUAAUUUGAUAAGUUGAUAAUGGUCUAAUAUGUCAAAAUGUGGUAUCGUUCUUGAUGGUGAGCCAGGUUAGUUAAUGAUCAACUUUCUUGCACAUUAAAAGGGGAAUGCUCUCAAAGACGUUGGACAUGUUGAAGAGGCUAUCAACUUCUAUAGGGUGACUUUUUAAUUUGGAUAUUUUUAUUCUCUUAAGUUUUUUUUCCUUGUUGAAUAAUUUCAUUUUAAUAAUAUUUCCCAAGUCAUGCCUUGCUUUACAACCUAACCAUCCACAAGCAUUGUCAAGCCUUGGCAACAUAUACAUGGACUGCUAAGCUUUAGAAAUGUUUGAUGACAACUGUGCGGAUAGUUUAUUUUUGUUCCUUAAUGAAACUUCUCUUCAUGCAGCAACAUGAUGAGUGUUGCUGCAUCAUUCUAUAAGGCAACUUUAGCAGUUACAACAAGGAUAUCUGCGCCCUUCAACAACUUGGCUAUUAUAUACAAGCAACAGCAGGGAACUUAUGCAGAAGCGAUAGCCUGUUACAAUGAAGUUCUUCGCAGACUGCUGCUGAUGGUCUUAUCAAUAGAGGGAACACAUUUAAUGAGAUUGGUAGAGUUACUGAAGUAAUUCAGGAUUAUAUACGUGUUGUGAAUAUCAGACCAACUAUGCCUGAAGCCCAUGCAAAUUUGGCUUCAGCUUACAAAGAUAGUUUACAAAUCUCAAGUACUCCAGAGUUGAAAUUGAUAAAGUGCGGUUCGAGUGGGCUGAA